CCUACGGGUGGCAGCAGUGGGGAAUAUUGGGCAAUGGGCGCAAGCCUGACCCAGCAACGCCGCGUGAAGGAAGAAGGCUUUCGGGUUGUAAACUUCUGUUCUCAGGGACGAAGCAAGUGACGGUACCUGAGGAAUAAGCCACGGCUAACUACGUGCCAGCAGCCGCGGUAAUACGGAGGUGGCAAGCGUGAUCCGUAUUUACUGGGUGUAAAGGGCGUGUAGCCGGGUUGACAAGUCAGAUGUGAAAUCCUGCGGCUUAACCGCAGAACUGCAUUUGAAACUGUUGAUCUUGAGUACUGGAGAGGCAGACGGAAUUCCUAGUGUAGCGGUGAAAUGCGUAGAUAUUAGGAGGAACACCAGUGGCGAAGGCGGUCUGCUGGACAGCAACUGACGGUGAGGCGCGAAAGCGUGGGGAGCAAACAGGAUUAGAUACCCCAGUAGUC
This 443-nucleotide ribosomal RNA is filed under the name uncultured bacterium. RNAcentral describes it as "partial 16S ribosomal RNA". It matches the Rfam family "Bacterial small subunit ribosomal RNA", at positions 338 to 795 of the family's 1533-position model. The record is from RNAcentral.